RNAcentral lists this long non-coding RNA (242 nucleotides) under Elaeis guineensis (African oil palm). RNAcentral describes it as "long non-coding RNA (EGUI_LNC064739)". The record is from RNAcentral. Lineage: Eukaryota; Viridiplantae; Streptophyta; Magnoliopsida; Arecales; Arecaceae.
GUAAGAAGCUGGAUCAUUGAAAAAAAAAUUAUCCUACUUAUAUAGCUACCCUUGACCCAAAUAUACCUAAAAAUAAGAGAAAGAAGCAAAUGGUUGCUUCACAAGGUACUUAUAUGAUAACUCUUUGUAAUUUCUCUAUUUGUGAUACUACUAUCUGGGUAUUGGAUAUUGAAAGUUCUAUUAAUAUAUGCAAUUCAUUGUAGAGACUACAGAUAAGUAGGAAGUUUCGAGAGGACGAGUGG